Long non-coding RNA from Sorghum bicolor (sorghum), 800 nucleotides. RefSeq lists it as uncharacterized. The transcript is spliced from 3 exons. The record is from RefSeq and is a predicted model, not a curated record. Lineage: Eukaryota; Viridiplantae; Streptophyta; Magnoliopsida; Poales; Poaceae.
GCUUCGCAGUGUCAGAGCCACUUGCACCCUCGGCCAGUCCAAGCCGUGGAGCUGAAUCUGAUAAUGAAUCACCGGUUGAAACAGCUGCUGACCAUGAGGUCAAUGAAGUAGAAGAUAAGGAAGAAGAUGGUGUUGAAGUUGGUGGUAAGAGGAAGCUCACCUCGGCAGUUUGGAAUGAUUACAAGAGAGUGAAGUUCAAUGGCACAGUUCGAGCAAAGUGCAUUUAUUGCUUCAAGCUACCUUCAGCAACAAGUGGAAAUGGGACUAAGCCGGCUUACUCCCAAACUGUUGGAAGCUCUUAUGUACUCACAAGAUUGGCUUAGAAACAAAUACAAAGUUGAUGAGCAAAAUAAGCAGGCUGCUACCUUCUGGUCGUGCCUCCAAGACAUACAGGAGGGCCUUCAGGAGCUCACUCUUUGAAGCAACAUCACAUAGUUUGUUGUUUGACCUUUUGUUGGAGCUUGCCCUUUGAUUUGAAGCAACAUCACAUAGCUCACUCUUUGCUGUUUGACCUUUUGUUGGAGUUUGCCUCCAAGUCCAAGCUUUGUCAAACUGCAGCAACUCCAUGUCAAGAAUGCAAGCUUAAUUAUCUAUUUAUGUAUCUCCUAUUGGUUGUAAUACUUAAAACUGCUACUCCUUAGUCCUUAGUAUUACAACUAUAGUUGUGGUUGAGAACUUGAGAUUGAGUCAUGACUCAGAACAUGUCAUAUGUGAUAGCUGUGAGUUGUCAUGUGGUGGAGACUUAUAAGUCCUAGCUGUGGAGACUUAUAAUUCCAAGCUGUGCAGAUUUUAUAUUAGAC